Molecule: ribosomal RNA, 468 nt
Filed under: uncultured bacterium
Lineage: Bacteria
Description: partial 16S ribosomal RNA
Rfam family: Bacterial small subunit ribosomal RNA
Source: RNAcentral
GACGAACGCUGGCGGCGUGCUUAACACAUGCAAGUCGAACGGAAAGGCCCUGCUUUUGUGGGGUGCUCGAGUGGCGAACGGGUGAGUAACACGUGAGUAACCUGCCCUUGACUUUGGGAUAACUUCAGGAAACUGGGGCUAAUACCGGAUAGGAGCUCCUGCUGCACGGUGGGGGUUGGAAAGUUUCGGCGGUUGGGGAUGGACUGGCGGGUUAUCCGCUUGUUGGUGGGGUAGUGGCUUACCAAGGCUUUGACGGGUAGCCGGCCUGAGAGGGUGACCGGCCACAAUGGGACUGAGAUAGGGCGCAGACUCCUACGGGAGGCAGUAGGGGGGAGUAUUGCACAAUGGGCGGAAGCCUGAUGCAGCAACGCCGCGUGCGGGAUGACGGGCUUCGAGUGAUAAACCGCUUUCGCCGGUGACGAGGCGUGAGUGACGGUAAUGGGUAAAGAAGCACCGGCUAACUACGUG